This 318-nucleotide ribosomal RNA is filed under the name uncultured bacterium. RNAcentral describes it as "bacterial SSU rRNA". It matches the Rfam family "Bacterial small subunit ribosomal RNA", at positions 97 to 419 of the family's 1533-position model. The record is from RNAcentral.
GGCGAACGGGUGAGUAAUGUAUCGGAACGUACCCAGUCGUGGGGGAUAACUAUCCGAAAGGAUAGCUAAUACCGCAUACGACCUGAGGGUGAAAGGCGGGGACCGCAAGGCCUCGCGCGAUUGGAGCGGCCGAUAUCGGAUUAGCUAGUUGGUGAGGUAAAGGCUCACCAAGGCGACGAUCCGUAGCUGGUCUGAGAGGACGACCAGCCACACUGGAACUGAGACACGGUCCAGACUCCUACGGGAGGCAGCAGUGGGGAAUUUUGGACAAUGGGGCAACCCUGAUCCAGCCAUUCCGCGUGAGUGAAGAAAGGCCUU